This 253-nucleotide ribosomal RNA is filed under the name uncultured bacterium. RNAcentral describes it as "partial 16S ribosomal RNA". It matches the Rfam family "Bacterial small subunit ribosomal RNA", at positions 524 to 776 of the family's 1533-position model. The record is from RNAcentral.
UACAGAGGGUGCAAGCGUUAAUCGGAAUUACUGGGCGUAAAGCGUGCGUAGACGGUUAUGUAAGUCAGAUGUGAAAGCCCCGGGCUCAACCUGGGAAUUGCAUUUGAGACUGUGUAGCUAGGGUGCGGAAGAGGGAAGCGGAAUUUCCGGUGUAGCGGUGAAAUGCGUAGAGAUCUGGAGGAACACCGAUGGCGAAGGCAGCCCCCUGGGCUAACACUGACGCUCAUGCACGAAAGCGUGGGGAGCAAACAGG